RNAcentral lists this transfer RNA (76 nucleotides) under Brucella abortus 63/294. RNAcentral's name for it is "tRNA-Ala". It matches the Rfam family "tRNA". Rfam says of the family: Transfer RNA (tRNA) molecules are approximately 80 nucleotides in length. Their secondary structure includes four short double-helical elements and three loops (D, anti-codon, and T loops). RNAcentral also lists the same sequence under 2 other names. The record is from RNAcentral. Lineage: Bacteria; Pseudomonadati; Pseudomonadota; Alphaproteobacteria; Hyphomicrobiales; Brucellaceae.
GGGGCUGUAGCUCAGCUGGGAGAGCGCGUCGUUCGCAAUGACGAGGUCAGGGGUUCGAUUCCUCUCAGAUCCACCA